Molecule: ribosomal RNA, 301 nt
Filed under: uncultured bacterium
Lineage: Bacteria
Description: partial 16S ribosomal RNA
Rfam family: Bacterial small subunit ribosomal RNA
Source: RNAcentral
CAGCCGCCGCGGUAAUACGGAGGGUGCAAGCGUUAUCCGGAUUUAUUGGGUUUAAAGGGUCCGUAGGCGGAUCUGUAAGUCAGUGGUGAAAUCUCACAGCUUAACUGUGAAACUGCCAUUGAUACUGCAGGUCUUGAGUAAAUUUGAAGUGGCUGGAAUAAGUAGUGUAGCGGUGAAAUGCAUAGAUAUUACUUAGAACACCAAUUGCGAAGGCAGGUCACUAAGAUUUAACUGACGCUGAUGGACGAAAGCGUGGGGAGCGAACAGGAUUAGAUACCCCGGUAGUCCCUGUCUCUUAUAC